Molecule: ribosomal RNA, 521 nt
Filed under: uncultured Archaeosporaceae
Lineage: Eukaryota; Fungi; Glomeromycota; Glomeromycetes; Archaeosporales; Archaeosporaceae
Description: SSU rRNA
Rfam family: Eukaryotic small subunit ribosomal RNA
Source: RNAcentral
AGCAGCCGCGGUAAUUCCAGCUCCAAUAGCGUAUAUUAAAGUUGUUGCAGUUAAAAAGCUCGUAGUUGAAUUUUGGAUUCUUCCAAUUGGUCCAUCUUUUAGAUGAGUACUGGUUGUGUGGGGUCUAUCCGCCUGGUAAUACGUAAUGUCCUUUAUUGGAUGUUGCGGGUAGUCAGGACCUUUACCUUGAAAAAAUUAGAGUGUUUAAAGCAGGCUUAUGCCGGAAUACAUUAGCAUGGAAUAAUAGAAUAGGACGAAGUUGUUUUAUUUUGUUGGUUUCUAGGACAACCGUAAUGAUUAAUAGGGAUAGUUGGGGGCAUUAGUAUUCAAUUGUCAGAGGUGAAAUUCUUGGAUUUAUUGAAGACUAACUACUGCGAAAGCAUUUGCCAAGGAUGUUUUCAUUAAUCAAGAACGAAAGUUAGGGGAUCGAAGACGAUCAGAUACCGUCGUAGUCUUAACCAUAAACUAUGCCGACUAGGGAUCGGGCGAUGUUGUUUCCAUGACUCGCUCGGCACCUUAUG